This 324-nucleotide ribosomal RNA is filed under the name uncultured eukaryote. RNAcentral's name for it is "partial 18S ribosomal RNA". It matches the Rfam family "Eukaryotic small subunit ribosomal RNA", at positions 1470 to 1796 of the family's 1831-position model. The record is from RNAcentral.
CCCUUAGAUGUUCUGGGCCGCACGCGCGCUACACUGACGGAGUCAACGAGUCGUCCUGCAUCGGAAGGUGUGGGUAAUCUUUUGAAACUUCGUCGUGCUGGGGAUAGAUCUUUGCAAUUUUCGAUCUUGAACGAGGAAUUCCUAGUAAGCGUGAUUCAUCAGAUCGCGUUGAUUACGUCCCUGCCCUUUGUACACACCGCCCGUCGCUACUACCGAUUGAAUGGUUUAGUGAGGCCUCGGGACUGGCGCGCUCGAGUAGCAAUACACCUGCGCGCCGGGAACUUGGUCAAACUUGAUCAUUUAGAGGAAGUAAAAGUCGUAACA